GCCUUUGCCGCCCGGUCCGCCUAUUUGGGUGUGUACUGGAGCGGUGGAGGCUUACCUCGUGGUGAACGGCCAUGUCCUUUACUGGGUGUGGUCGGGAACCAUGACUUUUACUGUGAAAAAAUUAGAGUGUUCAAAGCAGGCUUACGCCCGAAUACAUUAGCAUGGAAUAAUAAAAUAGGA
This 180-nucleotide ribosomal RNA is filed under the name uncultured Glomeromycotina. RNAcentral's name for it is "partial small subunit ribosomal RNA". The record is from RNAcentral. Lineage: Eukaryota; Fungi; Glomeromycota.